This 159-nucleotide ribosomal RNA is filed under the name Kuraishia hungarica. Its description in RNAcentral is "5.8S ribosomal RNA". It matches the Rfam family "5.8S ribosomal RNA". From Rfam's summary of the family: 5.8S ribosomal RNA (5.8S rRNA) is a component of the large subunit of the eukaryotic ribosome. It is transcribed by RNA polymerase I as part of the 45S precursor that also contains 18S and 28S rRNA. Functionally, it is thought that 5.8S rRNA may be involved in ribosome translocation. Lineage: Eukaryota; Fungi; Ascomycota; Pichiomycetes; Pichiales; Pichiaceae. The record is from RNAcentral.
AACUUUCAACAACGGAUCUCUUGGUUCUCGCAUCGAUGAAGAACGCAGCGAAAUGCGAUAAGUAUUGUGAAUUGCAGAUUUUCGUGAAUCAUCGAAUCUUUGAACGCACAUUGCGCCCUGUGGUAUUCCACAGGGCAUGCCUGUUUGAGCGUCAUUUCU